CUUCUUUUUCCCCGGAGCUUGCUCCACCGGAAAAAGAGGAGUGGCGAACGGGUGAGUAACACGUGGGUAACCUGCCCAUCAGAAGGGGAUAACACUUGGAAACAGGUGCUAAUACCGUAUAACAAUCGAAACCGCAUGGUUUUGAUUUGAAAGGCGCUUUCGGGUGUCGCUGAUGGAUGGACCCGCGGUGCAUUAGCUAGUUGGUGAGGUAACGGCUCACCAAGGCGACGAUGCAUAGCCGACCUGAGAGGGUGAUCGGCCACAUUGGGACUGAGACACGGCCCAAACUCCUACGGGAGGCAGCAGUAGGGAAUCUUCGGCAAUGGACGAAAGUCUGACCGAGCAACGCCGCGUGAGUGAAGAAGGUUUUCGGAUCGUAAAACUCUGUUGUUAGAGAAGAACAAGGAUGAGAGUAACUGUUCAUCCCUUGACGGUAUCUAACCAGAAAGCCACGGCUAACUACGUGCCAGCAGCCGCGGUAAUACGUAGGUGGCAAGCGUUGUCCGGAUUUAUUGGGCGUAAAGCGAGCGCAGGCGGUUUCUUAAGUCUGAUGUGAAAGCCCCCGGCUCAACCGGGGAGGGUCAUUGGAAACUGGGAGACUUGAGUGCAGAAGAGGAGAGUGGAAUUCCAUGUGUAGCGGUGAAAUGCGUAGAUAUAUGGAGGAACACCAGUGGCGAAGGCGGCUCUCUGGUCUGUAACUGACGCUGAGGCUCGAAAGCGUGGGGAGCAAACAGGAUUAGAUACCCUGGUAGUCCACGCCGUAAACGAUGAGUGCUAAGUGUUGGAGGGUUUCCGCCCUUCAGUGCUGCAGCUAACGCAUUAAGCACUCCGCCUGGGGAGUACGACCGCAAGGUUGAAACU
RNAcentral lists this ribosomal RNA (861 nucleotides) under Enterococcus sp. SK117. Its description in RNAcentral is "bacterial SSU rRNA". It matches the Rfam family "Bacterial small subunit ribosomal RNA", at positions 69 to 901 of the family's 1533-position model. Lineage: Bacteria; Bacillati; Bacillota; Bacilli; Lactobacillales; Enterococcaceae. The record is from RNAcentral.